UACAGAGGGCCCAAGCGUUGUUCGGAUUCACUGGGCGUAAAGGGUGCGUAGGCGGUCGGGUAAGUCUGAUGUGAAAGCUCUGGGCUCAACCCAGAAAUGGCAUUGGAUACUAUCUGGCUAGAGGAAUGGAGGGGGGACUGGAAUACUUGGUGUAGCAGUGAAAUGCGUAGAUAUCAAGUGGAACACCAGUGGCGAAGGCGAGUCCCUGGACAGUUCCUGACACUGAGGCACGAAAGCUAGGGGAGCAAACAGG
RNAcentral lists this ribosomal RNA (253 nucleotides) under uncultured bacterium. RNAcentral's name for it is "partial 16S ribosomal RNA". It matches the Rfam family "Bacterial small subunit ribosomal RNA", at positions 524 to 776 of the family's 1533-position model. The record is from RNAcentral.